This 655-nucleotide ribosomal RNA is filed under the name uncultured bacterium. RNAcentral's name for it is "bacterial SSU rRNA". It matches the Rfam family "Bacterial small subunit ribosomal RNA", at positions 8 to 645 of the family's 1533-position model. The record is from RNAcentral.
AGAGUUUGAUCAUGGCUCAGGACGAACGCUGGCGGCGUGCUUAACACAUGCAAGUCAAGGAGAACCUCCGCUUCGGUGGAGUAGUAAACUGGCGAACGGGUGAGUAACACGUGGGUAACCUGCCCUGGAGACUGGGAUAACCCCGAGAAAUCGGAGCUAAUACCGGAUAAUGCAGCGGGUCCUUCGGGACAUUGUUGUUAAAGCGGCCUUCGGGUCGCACUUUAGGAUGGGCCUGCGUCCGAUUAGUUAGUUGGUGAGGUAAUGGCUUACCAAGGCGAUGAUCGGUAGCUGGUUUGAGAGGAUGAUCAGCCACACUGGGAUUGAGAUACGGCCCAGACUCCUACGGGAGGCAGCAGUGGGGAAUUUUGCGCAAUGGGCGAAAGCCUGACGCAGCAACGCCGCGUGAUCGAUGAAGCUUUUCGGAGUGUAAAGAUCUGUCAUGAGGGAAGAACAGUCCUGAUAUAAAUAAUAUCAGGAUUUGACGGUACCUUAUAAGAAAGCACCGGCUAACUUAGUGCCAGCAGCCGCGGUAAUACUAGGGGUGCAAGCGUUGUCCGGAAUUACUGGGCGUAAAGGGUGCGUAGGCGUCUAUGCAAGUUGUUUGUUAAAUCCAUCGGCUUAACCGAUGCUCUGCAAACAAAACUGCAUGGAUAGA